Molecule: long non-coding RNA, 297 nt
Organism: Ipomoea nil (Japanese morning glory)
Lineage: Eukaryota; Viridiplantae; Streptophyta; Magnoliopsida; Solanales; Convolvulaceae
Exons: 3
Source: RefSeq, a predicted model, not a curated record
AUGUGGUCUAAACGUAAAUUGAACUUUCAGGACUUUGAUUGGCAUUCUAGAUGACUGUUUUGAUGGCUAUUACUCAGAAGAGAUGAUAGAGUCUCAGGUUGACCAACGUGUUCUUGAGGAAUUGGUGCGUGAGAAAUUUCCAUCCAAAGUUAGUUAAUCAUCUAGAUUACCUGGGAGUCCAAGUACAAUGGAUCACUGGACCAUGGUUCCUCUCCAUAUUUAUGAACGUACUUCCUUGGGAAAGUGGUCAUGAUCUUUAUCUUGUCAUGCUAUAUAUCUACAUAUACAUGUAUAAUA